Molecule: ribosomal RNA, 478 nt
Filed under: uncultured bacterium
Lineage: Bacteria
Description: partial 16S ribosomal RNA
Rfam family: Bacterial small subunit ribosomal RNA
Source: RNAcentral
GAUGAACGCUGGCGGCGUGCUUAACACAUGCAAGUCGAACGGGAAACCUUUUAUUGAAGCUUCGGCAGAUUUAGCUGGUUUCUAGUGGCGGACGGGUGAGUAACGCGUGGGUAACCUGCCUUAUACAGGGGGAUAACAGUCAGAAAUGGCUGCUAAUACCGCAUAAGCGCACAGAGCUGCAUGGCUCAGUGUGAAAAACUCCGGUGGUAUAAGAUGGACCCGCGUUGGAUUAGCUGGUUGGUGGGGUAACGGCCCACCAAGGCGACGAUCCAUAGCCGGCCUGAGAGGGUGAACGGCCACAUUGGGACUGAGACACGGCCCAGACUCCUACGGGAGGCAGCAGUGGGGAAUAUUGCACAAUGGGGGAAAGCCUGAUGCAGCGACGCCGCGUGAAGGAAGAAGUAUCUCGGUAUGUAAACUUCUAUCAGCAGGGAAGAUAAUGACGGUACCUGAAGAAGAAGCCCCGGCUAACUACGUG